AUUUCAAUGAGCCUGAUGUACUACUUCGACCGUUACCCUCGAAACGGCUGCGCUCGGGACUAAUCUACGAAAUCUCCCGCCAAAACGCCACCGUCUCCUCUCCUCCUCUCGACCGUGACGUCCCGGCUCGCAGAAACGAAGAAGAUUAAUCAAUUUCUAGUAAAAGUGGUGGCGAUGUUGCCGACGAACCUGGUCAUCCGUUAUCCACGACCAGGAUAACGUACUUCGUUCUACAGGGUGUAUUUUUCGACCGGACACGC
Molecule: long non-coding RNA, 260 nt
Organism: Nomia melanderi (Alkali bee)
Lineage: Eukaryota; Metazoa; Arthropoda; Insecta; Hymenoptera; Halictidae
Source: RefSeq, a predicted model, not a curated record